Molecule: ribosomal RNA, 378 nt
Filed under: Triticum aestivum (bread wheat)
Lineage: Eukaryota; Viridiplantae; Streptophyta; Magnoliopsida; Poales; Poaceae
Description: partial small subunit ribosomal RNA
Source: RNAcentral
AUGCCACACCCAGCCAGGUUCAGAAACUUCACAAACUGUUUAUAUGGACUUACUGGGGUCACUGGAGGUGACGACGCCGGUGCCCUUGAAGUCGCACGCCAAGUCGGUGUGGCCGUUGGCCUGGUAGUAGGCGUUCAUCACGUACGAGGCAUGAGACUGCAGGCUGUUGGGGCUGAAGCACGCGCCGCCGCCCUGUAUGGGCUUGCAGUCUACGAAGCCGCAGGCGUAGUUGAUGUUGUUCUGCAGGUCCGUCCCGUUGGCGCCGUCCUUGGCGACGCACCACUUCCCGCCUCCGGACGGCGAGGGCUUGGGGCUCGGAUUGGGCGAUGGGCUUGGCGAAGGGUUUGGAGCUACAGACUGCAAGGCAAAACAACAUAA